This 420-nucleotide ribosomal RNA is filed under the name uncultured bacterium. RNAcentral's name for it is "bacterial SSU rRNA". It matches the Rfam family "Bacterial small subunit ribosomal RNA", at positions 359 to 777 of the family's 1533-position model. The record is from RNAcentral.
GAAUCAUUGGCAAUGUGCGCAAGCAUGACCAUGCCACGCCGCGUGGACGAUGAAGGCCUUCGGGUUGUAAAGUCCUGUCCGGGGUGAGGAAACGCACGGGUUCACUCGUGCCUGACGUUAGCCCCAGAGGAAGUCACGGCUAACUUCGUUCCAGCCGCCGCGGUAAGACGAGGGUGGCAAACGCUGCUCGGAAUCACUGGGCUUAAAGGGCGUGUAGGCGGCCAGGCAAGUCGGAUGUGAAAUCCCUCGGCUCAACCGAGGAACUGCACCCGAUACUGCCCGGCUGGAGUGCGGGAGGGGUGAGUGGAACUCCAGGUGUAGCGGUGAAAUGCGUAGAUAUCUGGAGGAACGCCGGUGGCGAAAGCGACUCACUGGCCCGUAACUGACGCUGAGGCGCGAAAGCUAGGGGAGCAAACGGGA